ACCUCAUAAUUAGGACAAUGCAAGAGUUUUCCAUUGAAUCUUUCCCAUGCCUCGUACAAGUGUUCCCCAUUCAAUUGUCUAAAGUUUAUCAUCUCAUCCCAUAAUUU
Non-coding RNA from Capsicum annuum, 107 nucleotides. NCBI's taxonomy places the organism in Eukaryota, Viridiplantae, Streptophyta, Magnoliopsida, Solanales, Solanaceae. The record is from Rfam.